CUACGGAGGGUGCAAGCGUUACUCGGAAUCACUGGGCGUAAAGCGCGCGCAGGCGGCUAUUUAAGUUGGAUGUGAAAGCCUACGGCUCAACCGUAGAACUGCAUCCAAAACUAUUUAGCUAGAGUGUGGAGAGGAAGAUGGAAUUAGUUGUGUAGGGGUAAAAUCCGUAGAGAUAACUAGGAAUACCAAAAGCGAAGGCAAUCUUCUGGAACACUACUGACGCUGAGGUGCGAAAGCGUGGGUAGCAAACGGGAUUAGAAACCCUUGUAGUCC
RNAcentral lists this ribosomal RNA (273 nucleotides) under uncultured bacterium. Its description in RNAcentral is "partial 16S ribosomal RNA". It matches the Rfam family "Bacterial small subunit ribosomal RNA", at positions 523 to 796 of the family's 1533-position model. The record is from RNAcentral.